GAUUCAUAGUAACCGAACGGAUCGCAUUAUAGUCAUUUUAUAUGGCUGGCGAAGAUCAUUCAAGUUUCUGACCUAUCAGCUUUCGACGGUAGUGUAUUGGACUACCGUGGCAGUGACGGGUAACGGGGAAUUAGGGUUCGAUUCCGGAGAGGGAGCCUGAGAAACGGCUACCACAUCUAAGGAAGGCAGCAGGCGCGCAAAUUACCCAAUCCUGACUCAGGGAGGUAGUGACAAGAAAUAACAACACUGGAAAUUUUAUUUCUAGUGAUUGGAAUGAUGGGAAUUUAAACCCCUUUCAGAGUAACAAUUGGAGGGCAAGUCUGGUGCCAGCAGCCGCGGUAAUUCCAGCUCCAAUAGCGUAUAUUAAAGUUGUUGCAGUUAAAAAGCUCGUAGUUGGAUAUCUGCUGGAAGCAAUCAGUCCGCCCUAUUUGUAGGGUGUGCACUUGAUGAAUUCUGGCAUCUAUGUCCCGAUAAUAUAACGUGGAGGUCGUCCUCCCGUUUAUUGGGAACAUACUGUUACUUUGAGAAAAUUAGAGUGUUUGAAGCAGGCUAAUUGCCUUGAAUACUGCAGCAUGGAAUAACAAUAUAGGAUUUCGGUUCUAUUUUGUUGGUUUCUAGGACUGAAAUAAUGAUUAAUAGGGACAGUUGGGGGCAUUCGUAUUUAACUGUCAGAGGUGAAAUUCUUAGAUUUGUUAAAGACGAACUACUGCGAAAGCAUUUGCCAAAGAUGUUUUCAUUAAUCAAGAACGAAAGUUAGGGGCUCGAAGACGAUCAGAUACCGUCGUAGUCUUAACCAUAAACUAUGCCGACUAGAGAUAGUAAAAAUGUCAUUUCGCUGACUUCACCUGCAC
RNAcentral lists this ribosomal RNA (851 nucleotides) under Sarcocystis sp. RNAcentral's name for it is "SSU rRNA". It matches the Rfam family "Eukaryotic small subunit ribosomal RNA", at positions 248 to 1086 of the family's 1831-position model. Lineage: Eukaryota; Apicomplexa; Conoidasida; Eucoccidiorida; Sarcocystidae. The record is from RNAcentral.